Molecule: ribosomal RNA, 301 nt
Filed under: uncultured bacterium
Lineage: Bacteria
Description: partial 16S ribosomal RNA
Rfam family: Bacterial small subunit ribosomal RNA
Source: RNAcentral
CAGCCGCCGCGGUAAUACGUAGGUGGCAAGCGUUGUCCGGAAUUAUUGGGCGUAAAGGGCUCACAGGCGGUUUCUUAAGUCUGAUGUGAAAGCCCCCAGCUCAACCGGGGAGGGUCAUUGGAAACUGGGAAACUUGAGUGCAGGAGAGGAGAGUGGAAUUCCACGUGUAGCGGUGAAAUGCGUAGAGAUGUGGAGGAACACCAGUGGCGAAGGCGACUCUCUGGUCUGUAACUGACGCUGAGGAGCGAAAGCGUGGGGAGCGAACAGGAUUAGAUACCCGCGUAGUCCCUGUCUCUUAUAC